CUAGCACUUUCACAGGUCCUCCCCGAGGUAGUGGGGCCAGGAUUUGGUAGCUGGUGCUGAGAGAAAACCCUUGAUUACAUCCUUGCCCUGGGACUGUACCAGUGGCAACUAUCACUCAGUGGUACAGAG
This 129-nucleotide small nucleolar RNA is filed under the name Microcebus murinus (gray mouse lemur). RNAcentral's name for it is "Small nucleolar RNA SNORA30/SNORA37 family (ENSMICG00000044539.1)". It matches the Rfam family "Small nucleolar RNA SNORA30/SNORA37 family". Rfam says of the family: The members of this family belong to the H/ACA class of snoRNAs that guide the sites of modification of uridines to pseudouridines. This family includes human ACA30 (SNORA30), ACA37 (SNORA37) and the mouse homolog MBI-26. Lineage: Eukaryota; Metazoa; Chordata; Mammalia; Primates; Cheirogaleidae. The record is from Rfam by way of RNAcentral.